This 64-nucleotide transfer RNA is filed under the name Aporrectodea rosea. RNAcentral describes it as "tRNA-Pro". Lineage: Eukaryota; Metazoa; Annelida; Clitellata; Crassiclitellata; Lumbricidae. The record is from RNAcentral.
CAGAUAAUAGUUUAACCAAAACACCGGCUUUGGGUGCCAAAAAUCACAUCCCGUGUUAUCUGAA